GACGAACGCUGGCGGCGUGCUUAACACAUGCCAGUCGAACGGAAAGGCCCUGCUUUUGUGGGGUGCUCGAGUGGCGAACGGGUGAGUAACACGUGAGUAACCUGCCCUUGACUUUGGGAUAACUUCAGGAAACUGGGGCUAAUACCGGAUAGGAGCUCCUGCUGCAUGGUGGGGGUUGGAAAGUUUCGGCGGUUGGGGAUGGACUCGCGGCUUAUCAGCUUGUUGGUGGGGUAGUGGCUUACCAAGACUUCGACGGGUAGCCGGCCUGAGAGGGUGACCGGCCACAUUGGGACUGAGAUACGGCCCAGACUCCUACGGGAGGCAGCAGUGGGGAAUAUUGCACAAUGGGCGGAAGCCUGAUGCAGCAACGCCGCGUGCGGGAUGACGGCCUUCGGGUUGUAAACCGCUUUCGCCUGUGACGAAGCGGGAGUGACGGUAAUGGGUAAAGAAGCACCGGCUAACUACGUG
Molecule: ribosomal RNA, 468 nt
Filed under: uncultured bacterium
Lineage: Bacteria
Description: partial 16S ribosomal RNA
Rfam family: Bacterial small subunit ribosomal RNA
Source: RNAcentral